GAGUUUGAUCCUGGCUCAGAUUGAACGCUGGCGGCAGGCCUAACACAUGCAAGUCGAGCGGAAACGAGUUAACUGAACCUUCGGGGAACGUUAACGGCGUCGAGCGGCGGACGGGUGAGUAAUGCCUGGGAAAUUGCCCUGAUGUGGGGGAUAACCAUUGGAAACGAUGGCUAAUACCGCAUAAUAGCUUCGGCUCAAAGAGGGGGACCUUCGGGCCUCUCGCGUCAGGAUAUGCCCAGGUGGGAUUAGCUAGUUGGUGAGGUAAUGGCUCACCAAGGCGACGAUCCCUAGCUGGUCUGAGAGGAUGAUCAGCCACACUGGAACUGAGACACGGUCCAGACUCCUACGGGAGGCAGCAGUGGGGAAUAUUGCACAAUGGGCGCAAGCCUGAUGCAGCCAUGCCGCGUGUAUGAAGAAGGCCUUCGGGUUGUAAAGUACUUUCAGCAGUGAGGAAGGUGGGUAUGUUAAUAGCAUACUCAUUUGACGUUAGCUGCAGAAGAAGCACCGGCUAACUCCGUGCCAGCAGCCGCGGUAAUACGGAGGGUGCGAGCGUUAAUCGGAAUUACUGGGCGUAAAGCGCAUGCAGGUGGUUUGUUAAGUCAGAUGUGAAAGCCCGGGGCUCAACCUCGGAAUUGCAUUUGAAACUGGCAAACUAGAGUACUGUAGAGGGGGGGUAGAAUUUUCAGGGUGUAAGCGGUGAAAUGCGUANAGAUCAUGAANGAAUACCGGUGGCGAAAGGCGGCCCCCCUGCACANNAUACUGUACACCUCAAAUGUGAAAGCGUGGGGAGCAAACANGAUUNNUNNANCCNUGUCUNUCCCACNCCNAUNAANNANNNNNNAUUUG
Molecule: ribosomal RNA, 846 nt
Filed under: uncultured bacterium
Lineage: Bacteria
Description: partial 16S ribosomal RNA
Rfam family: Bacterial small subunit ribosomal RNA
Source: RNAcentral